UGGCUGGGGGAUCUCCUUGGGAUUAUUCUGGGAUGGGAGCUUGGGAAAAGCAGGAGCGAGCCUUGGAAUCCAGGCUGGAAGUGUGGAGGUUUUUCACAGGAAAGGAGGACCCUGUGAAACAAUAUUGGUAAAACAUGAGGAGGACCUGGUGGGCGUGGGUUGGGUGGACAUGAAUGGGGAAAUGCAGAGGCUGGGAAAGUGAUCUGAGCGGGAGCAGUGAGGGGCUAAGGUCAGGAACGGGAGGGAAGAACAGGUAGGAGGAAUUGAGCAAACGCAUGACUGACAGGACUGAGCGAAUGAUUAAGUAUGUGGGUGGAGUUGGCGGUGGGGUCAGAGGCAGCCCUGAGAGCCUGCCAGUGGCUGAGAGAAGGACAGCAUCUUCCAGGAGAAAGGAAAACCAGAAGGAGACACACGUAGGAAUGAGGUGAGACUGGUGACUUGGGGCAACGGCAGGACAUUCCAUUGGGGUUUAAAUAAGCAGGCUCGGAAUGUUCCAGAGCUGGGAGAGUGGUGAGAACUGGAGGUCCUGAACCAAGAGUUACCUCGGGGAAUUUCCCAUCUCUGUGAAGUGCUGUGACAGGUUGACUCCGUCUCUCCGGGGGAGCGUCCUCCUCAGGGACGGCACAGUGAGCCACCCUGACCCUCUCCGUCACCUCUUUGUGCAGGGUCAGGUGUAGGGUCAGUGGAGGAUGAGGGCCUGGCCGUCACCACCUCUCUGCCCACGCCCGUUUUUGCAGGGGGGAUCUGCCUGGUGGGUGUUCUGUUUCUCCUCCCUCUUGAAUUCCAGGAAGUCUGUUUAUGUCAAUCAGCACAUGCCUGAGCAUUGGCCAGCCCCGAGGAAGCCAGGAAUGCCCCCAGGUAUUUCCUUCAUGAGAGCUUGGGUCCAGCAUUCCUCUUGGCUUUCCAGUCUCCAUAGUGGGAAAGCUCCCCAACGUGAAACCCAAGUCCUUCUCUUCGCUCUGUGAGAUGUCAAGAAACCAGAGGCUGGGUGAGGCGGGGAACGGGCUGUGUCCUUCAGGAAUGGGGCCUGGUGGUAGGGUGUGCGGCGUCUCCUCUCACUGUGGUCUCGGGGAGUGGAGAACACGUUGAGAAGAACCAGGUGGGCUCUUCCCUUGCAGCCGUGACCGGACCCACCCAAGGUGGUCUCAUCACUGGGGAUGAAGGGGAGAUGGGCCUCUUUCUGUUUCCUCAGUGUCCAUCCUGUUGAUGUGGCAGGAGGCCUUCACAAAUGCUGGACAGAUGGCUGGUGUCCAUGUAUAUGGAGGAGCAACUCUUAGACUGUUUGUAGAAGCUCCCUGACUUCACGAGGACUGACCGGAUCCUCGUCUGUGAUUCCAACUAAUUCAACUCCUGAUUGUCCACAUGUGUUUGUCCAUCGGGGCCAUAUGGGCAUCUGCUCGCCACCUGGCCAUCUGUGUGAUGAGUACCCAAUUAUGACCGCAGCAGCUGCCUGUCCCCACGGUGACCCAGCUGCAACUGGCCGUUAACAGGCAAUGGGCCUCUCUCAAUUCUGCUAUGAUUACGAGAGGCUGAGAGCUGGGGAAAUGUUUCCACGAAGGAUUUGGGGUGAGAAUGAGUGAAGUCCUAGUGUGAACUUCGGGACCAAGGGCACAUUUCCUCAUGGCCUGUAUUUCCAAUCUCUCCUGUUCUUUCUAAUUCCCUCUGCCAUCUGCAAAGUGCCACUAAAAGGCCCUCAGCGGACAGGAUGAUGCCCACCUGAAUUGGAGGGAGCCGUAUUCUUUGCUCAGUCUAUUGAAUCAAAUGCUAACCUCUUCCAGAAACACCCACACAGACACAGACAUAAUAUUUUACCAGCUAUCUGGGCAUCCCUGAGUCCCGUCAAGUCGGCACAUAAAAUGAACCAUCACAGAUGCGAACCUCCUUAGCAGUGUAUUUCAAAUGGGGGCGGGGAGUCCAUCAAUCAAAAUGCAGAUUCCCAGGCCUCACUUGGAUGCCACGGAUCAGAACUGUGGGAGACGUGGCGCUCUAAUACGUGGUUCUCACCAGCAUCUCAGGGGAUUGUCAUGCAGCUGAAGUUUGAGAUGCCCGUGCCUUAGAAAUGAUGCCGGUCUAAUGGUGCCCUCUCCCGGCAGUGGGGAAGCUGAAGUUGGGAGAGAUGUUGAGCGUGGCUUGGUCACAGGCAGGCACAGCACUGCUGAGCCAUGUCUGGGAGGGCACUGAGAACUCUCUGAGGAGGCUUCUCAAACCCGCUGUGCAUUGGUAGAACCCAUGCAGCUUUGAAAAGCUGCUCGUGCCUGGGCUCCGCCCCAGAGGUUCGGGAUUUGUUGAUCUGGGAUGGGUCCAGGCAUGGUGCGCUGUGAAAGUCUUCCCGUGCUAUUAAUGGUGUGCGGUGUUGAGAACAGCAGGUCUCAGCGUCAGGUUUUGGAGGCAGAGAUGGAGGCAGGUGGUGUGCUUGGUAUUAUGGUGCUCGCAGCAUCACAAGAUUCACUGUCCUUCGGGGUGCCGGGAGGACUGUACUUCCCCAUCCCUGUGAAAUUAGGCUUGGCCAUGGGACCAGUUCUGGCCAAUGGAUUGGCAGAAGUGAUGCCACUUCUGGGGGGGGGGGGCGGAAUAUAGGUGCUGAUGUGAGUGGCCCCUGCUGUCCUGUGACCACACUGGACCUGUGGUGUGAGUGAGAAAGACGUCUCGUUUGCAGUUGCUGAGGUCCUGUUUGUCUCUGGGUUAUACCCUGACCUCGCCUGACAGACACACCUGGUUUCAUAAAAAGUUAGUAAAGCUAACGAUAGUUCUGCAUCCUAAAUGCCUUCUCCAUUGCCUUAAUAGAAUAAAUAAACUCUUUUCUUUUUUCCUCCUGUUUUGUUGUUGAAAUCCCGUUGAAAGAUGGAGCCAGGCUUUUGAUGCUAAAAUGUUUCCCAUUGCUUAGUCAAGGCUGUGUAUUCAGUUCAUGGAACUUGCUUAUUCAGUUUGUCCUGAGGAGACGAGUGUUAUGUCAGGCAAAAAAUCCUAAAUGAUUAGAGCAAAUGGUGGUCUUUUCUCACUGAGAAAAAUGUCUGCAGAAAAUUGAUUGAUCUUGACUGAUAUGUGUGCCGGAGCUCUGUUCUUUUGACUUUUACAAGGGAAAUCUCAAGUUAGGGAAAAGGAAGAAAACAUACCACUUGCUUUAAAAUGCAUUUUUUUCAGGAGAAAAUUUAGCAGCUGUGAUGGUUAUGCUGCUUUUGGUAAGAAUGUUUUCCAAUGUAUAAUACAUUAGACUUACCACAAGCCUCCUGCCAGGGUGAAGCUUGCACUAAGCAAGUGGCGACUCUUCCUGGAUUGAAUUCUUGGCUGGAGGGAUGGUUAGGCUUGGGGAAGACAUGGAGAAUGAUAGGUGAAUAGAAAAGAGUUUAUUGAGUUCAGGUGUCCUGACAUUUGCAUUUUGUGAAAUUUCUGUUCAUGCUUCAGGGAGAAAUAAUUUAAAAAUACUAGUAAGAGUAGGCAGCCUUUACAAAAAUUCAAUACAUGUUUUAAAAUUAUUUUUCUGGCUCUGAACUGCUAUUUAGGGCUGAAUUAUUAUAUGGCUCUUUUUCAAAAUUCACUUGACAAUGGGCAAUUUGAUUUUUCUGAAAUAUUUUAUCUACAGAUAGGAAGCUUGUAGAUACUGAAAACCUCUGAGAAUCUGGGAAGAGAGAAUGAGACUGACUUGCUCCUGGCUUUAGCCCCAGUUAGAGAAGCGUCUGGGUUGUGCUAUUAUGUGUUCCAGAGGUGCUUCCAUGUCUGGGGCAGCAUGAUCCUGAAUGAGAAGGGACCCGAAAGGGCCUGGAGCACCUGCCCUUUAUGUUUGCAUGUUAUCUGCCCAGCCCAGCAGGUGCCUUCCUCCUCGGGGAGCUCACAAAGCAGACAGAGCUGUUUCUGAUAAGAUCCCUGGGAAGAUGUUCACAAGGGCACGAAGUUGCGCCUAUGAAGGGGGCUGGUUUUUCCAAUCAGCACUGUAGUAAGAACGGGCUGGCACAUUCACCCUGGGCCCGACCUCCCUGGGAGCAGGCUUGGGUGGUAGAGACUAGACGGGCCACAGCCACCUGGAAACUUCUGUCCGAUUGCUUCUCUCUCUUCCUCCUAGGACCAUUCUCUCUGGGAGAAGGUAAGCAGUGUGCAAGAGGGAAGAACAGCUAGUCAGACACUUGUCCUGGAAAAAGAAUGGAACCAGGCUGAGGAUGUAGAUUCUCUCACUGGCUGGCCUUUGGGGUGGGGACCACCGUGGCCUCUGGAUCAAUUUGGAAUCUCUGGGCUCCGGGAGACUCAGGUGAAAUCCUGCUUCCCUCCCUUGGGCUGUGUUCCCCCUGACUGCUUUGAGCUACUAGUAUCUUGGUGAAAGCCGUGGGCAUACUAAUCAAUGGGGGUUUUAAUGCUGUGGGGUUAAAAAUAAGCGGAUGCAGCUGGUAUGUUGUUUUAGGCUCAUGGCCAGGCAGGGUCCCAAGUCCUCUUCAUGGGGAGGGGGUCCAAAGGUGAGGGAGCAGACCCACUCCAAUGGGGGAAGGAGCCAGAGCUCCCCUCCAUGAGGCCUCCCCCAGUCUCUCCUUCCUCCUCCUCUGUGGGAAAAUGGAGGGAAGGAUCCGAGCGGGGAGAGGUGGGACAGUGGGAGGAGGAUGAUGUGGGAGGGGGAGAGGAGGUGGUGUACGGAGGGGUAGGACUCUCCAGACCACAGCUUGUUUGAUGGAUUUUGGCGAAGCCUGGGCGCUCGGCUCUGCCGGUGCCUUUUGGGCAGCACCAGCGCUGAGGAAUCACCUUAUUUACAGUCCUGAGGCAUCUGCCUUCUCUUCCUGGGUAAGUAGACUUCUAAGAUGUCAGGGCAAACCCACAGUCCCUCUCGCCGUGAACCAAGCUCCACCUCCUUGCUUGGCCUCUGGAGAAACGUGAGGAGCUCUGUUCACCGUGCAAAGUGCUGCCAUUGCGUUGGUGCUCAGGGUCCUUGUCACACAGCGGCUUCUCUGUGUGCUCCUUGAACAGAAGCCAACCUGCUGGCCUGUAAAACAGUGGAAAGGCAUUGCUCUCCAACCACACUGGGAAAAAUGCCCUUUAAAGAAAACCAUCUUCUAAGGGCCUCACAAAAUGACACAUUGUAAUAGGAAUAACGUGUGGAAAAUGGCCUGUUUUCUCUUCUGGUUGCUGUUCUCUUCAACAGCUGUUUAAUUGUAUUGGUCAUGUUGUUCACUAGCUUUGGAAGAUGAAAAGCCUGCAAGUGUUUGCUGAAAUCAAGGCUCCAAUGUCAAUUAUUUCCAUUUUCAGUUUCAAUGCAGCAUUUAUUCUUAUGUGUGAACGGCAGCACCGCUUUCUGCUCUUGGCUGGGGGAGGCACACGGCAGGUGGGGAGAUCACUCUGACCCACGGUGGACUCAGCUGCAUCAGAACCAUCAGCAACUCAAAUAGCAGAGCUCCCUUGAACCCCACGCUUCACACAUGUAUCUGGAAUGACGAUGGGGGUUUUGUACAAAAGCAACCCUCAGGAGCAGGAUGUAAUUUCCUCAAAGUAGUCAUUCGAGCCAUCAUAGCUCAGGAAUAUGAGAACAGGAAGGUUUUGUGGACAUAGACAAGACAAUGAAGGAAAUGAAACACUAUGGGGCCGACGUUCCCAGGUCCUGGUGGGGUUCCGGAUCCUUCUGGAAGGAGGGCUCCUUUGCAUGUUGUGAGCAGUGGGCUUUGCUGGUGGGGGAGGCCAGGACUUGGCUGCUCUCCUUUCCAGUGCCCGACCACCAACAGGCUCCACCCAGGAGGCAGUCAUAUCGCCACACCAUUGUCACAGGGGCUGGGGUACCGAAAGUGGUCAAGGUAACCGGCUGCUGGUGUUUUAUGUAUGUGGAAAGUUUAUAGAACUCAUUUCCCAAUUGUUUAUUUUGGUAAAAAUGUUGACUUGGGGGCUGGCCCCGUGGCCGAGUGGUUAAGUUCGCGCACUCCGCUGCAGGCGGCCCAGUGUUUCGUCAGUUCGAAUCCUGGGCGCGGACAUGGCACUGCUCAUCAGACCACGCUGAGGCAGUGUCCCACAUGCCACAACUAGAAGAACCCACAACGAAGAAUACACAACUAUGUACCGGGGGGCUUUGGGGAGAAAAAGGAAAAAAUAAAAUCUUUAAAAA
This 6067-nucleotide long non-coding RNA is filed under the name Equus caballus (horse). Its description in RNAcentral is "lncRNA (ENSECAG00000054396.1)". Lineage: Eukaryota; Metazoa; Chordata; Mammalia; Perissodactyla; Equidae. The record is from RNAcentral.